UACGUAUGGUGCAAGCGUUAUCCGGAUUUACUGGGUGUAAAGGGAGCGUAGGCGGCGCGUUAAGUCUGAUGUGAAAACCCGAGGCUCAACCACGGGAGUGCAUUGGAAACUGGCGUGCUGGAGUGCCGGAGAGGUAAGCGGAAUUCCUAGUGUAGCGGUGAAAUGCGUAGAUAUUAGGAGGAACACCAGUGGCGAAGGCGGUCUGCUGGACAGCAACUGACGCUGAGGCGCGAAAGCGUGGGGAGCAAACAGG
RNAcentral lists this ribosomal RNA (253 nucleotides) under uncultured bacterium. RNAcentral's name for it is "partial 16S ribosomal RNA". It matches the Rfam family "Bacterial small subunit ribosomal RNA", at positions 524 to 776 of the family's 1533-position model. The record is from RNAcentral.